Molecule: ribosomal RNA, 492 nt
Filed under: uncultured bacterium
Lineage: Bacteria
Description: partial 16S ribosomal RNA
Rfam family: Bacterial small subunit ribosomal RNA
Source: RNAcentral
AGUGAACGCUGGCGGUAGGCCUAACACAUGCAAGUCGAACGGCAGCACAGUAAGAGCUUGCUCUUACGGGUGGCGAGUGGCGGACGGGUGAGGAAUACAUCGGAAUCUACUUUUUCGUGGGGGAUAACGUAGGGAAACUUACGCUAAUACCGCAUACGACCUACGGGUGAAAGCAGGGGAUCUUCGGACCUUGCGCGAAUGAAUGAGCCGAUGUCGGAUUAGUUAGUUGGCGGGGUAAAGGCCCACCAAGGCGACGAUCCGUAGCUGGUCUGAGAGGAUGAUCAGCCACACGGGAACUGAGACACGGUCCAGACUCCUACGGGAGGCAGCAGUGGGGAAUAUUGGACAAUGGGCGCAAGCCUGAUCCAGCCAUACCGCGUGGGUGAAGAAGGCCUUCGGGUUGUAAAGCCCUUUUGUUGGGAAAGAAAAGCAGCAGGUUAAUACCCCGCUGUUCUGACGGUACCCAAAGAAUAAGCACCGGCUAACUUCGUG